CGGUUGCGGUGAACACGGCAGAGAACAAGUUGAGGGCGUCGCGCCAGUGAUCACGCCGAGUCGCACGCGUUUAGAUCGUCGGUCYCGCGUGGAUGUUUUUAAGCAAUAAUUACGUGAUUUUCGAAAUCAAAAACAGUUGAAUAGAUAACACGUAUACGUGUAUGAAUAUAACAAGCAUCAAUAUUUAGUAGUGUUCUUUWUGUGUGUUUUUUUUUACAAAAUUAAAAAAUUUGUUUAAUUGUUAUUUUCGAUUACGAAAUUAUGGAGGAAAUAUUGUUUAAAUUUAACGUCAGUGAUUAGGUAUAUACAUAACGGAUAUCCUGACACCUGGAUUUCCAUAUUGGAUCAAAGUGGUCAAAUGACGUUAACUUCAUGAAAGGGACAUCCGGACGACGACACCAAGCCCAAUGAGAUCACAAUGUUGCUGACAUUUCUACUGGCAGCCGCGCUGUGGAACUGCAAUUGCUGGUGGAAUGCCGCCAAUAUUUACACUUUCGCCGUGCAACCCGGAG
Molecule: long non-coding RNA, 512 nt
Organism: Diuraphis noxia (Russian wheat aphid)
Lineage: Eukaryota; Metazoa; Arthropoda; Insecta; Hemiptera; Aphididae
Source: RefSeq, a predicted model, not a curated record